GGAAAGAAAAAGAAAAGACAAGAACAGAAUCUUGUUCUGCGUUGGUCUCAAGCAGCUUAAAGCUGUUCUUCAAUACUAUUGGCUCCUGCAAUCCGUACAAUGCAGGACCACUUCCUUUGUCUCUAUCUUCAGUCUUCUUUGCAGAGUACAAAGUGACCGUUGCUUGUUUACUUGCUUGUGUGGGCUUUACGUUUGCAUCCUGAAGGCCCAUUUGAUUGUUGGUGAAACUUGUCUCAGCCUUUGGCAUUUUGUUCACUUCAAGUUUCAUCAUCAAGUCUGCUUGUGUCUCUGUCUCAGAAGCAGAACAAGAUUCUGUUCUUGUCUUUUCUUUUUCUUUCCACACCUCAGUCUUCUUAGCUCCUCUGUCUACAAAGGCAAUAUAGACAAGCUUGACUUGAAUGUGGGAUUGCACGCAGAGAAGAUGAUCAAAGGAUUUGCCAUUAGCGAAACUGCUUUCUUCAUCUUCCUCCUCGUUGCCUCCAGGAGGUUAGAAGCAGACAUGUUUUUCACGACGAACUUCAACGAGAAGACGUAUACUAAAGAAGGGUUAGAGUGGGUUAACGCAACAGAGAGUUUAAAGGAUGUAAUAGACCGAGCUUAACGAACAAGUGGAUGCGAUGUAAGAGCGCUUUCUCGGUCUGAAGCUCAGAUCCUGAUCCAACCAAUUGGCUUCUUUUUUACCUCCGGUCCGCACCAUAAGCCGUUAGAUGUCACGUGGUACAUGUGUGUAUGUGUCACGUGGUUACUUCCUUGGUCUAUCUUUUGGGUGGGGGACUUGGGAUUGUGUAAGAUCGUACGUUUAUGAAUAAAUCAUAUGAGAGUAGAAGAGGUUUAAUCAUUA
Long non-coding RNA from Raphanus sativus (radish), 841 nucleotides. RefSeq lists it as uncharacterized. The record is from RefSeq and is a predicted model, not a curated record. NCBI's taxonomy places the organism in Eukaryota, Viridiplantae, Streptophyta, Magnoliopsida, Brassicales, Brassicaceae. The transcript has 2 exons.